CACUGUCUCCAACACUGGCUGCUAAGCUCAGCUUCCCUGUGCGAGCUCUCCCGAAAGCUGCCAGGUGUCCACUCUGGGGCAUGCCUUUAAGGCCAUCGAGCGCAGGUGGCCAACAUCGGGAGCAAAAGCGGCUUCGCUCCUGGCAACCAGGGGCAAUCUCUUAACAGCAUCAGCUGCAGACUUGCGGAGCACCGAGGCUCACGGGGCUGCAGCGCAUGCUCACUUAUCUCUGGUGGAGGUUUGAGGAGGCUGAUGAAAGCAGGGCUAUCCUCUACCCAGAUAAGGACAACUCCAGGGUAGAAACCAUUGUCUCUUGACCACCUUGACCCCUCAAGGCAAAGACUUCUGGAGACCACCUCUAGACCAAGACUGAUUAAUUAUUCAUACCAAGAGGUAUGAACCACUUGCCACAAUCUUCCUUGACUUAAUCUAAAAGCUCAUGUGUGUAACCCAAACAUGAACUUAGGGUCAUUGUACCCUUUUAUCUGAUUUAUCCCAAUAUGGCUACAUCGGAUAACUCUCUCUCUGUACCAUUCAACUUUACCACCCUCUGGCAACAGGAUCUCACUGUAGCAGCGAAGGCUGACCUGGAUCUCAUUUUGUAUGCCAGGCUGACCUUCAACUAACAGUGAUCCUUAUGCCUCAGCCUCACAAGUGUUGAGAAAAAGGUGUAAACCACCAUUCCUGGCUUUACUUGUCUCUUUAAUUGGCAUACUGGGGACUGGAGGCCCAGCCUAGCCUGUUUGGACUGCCUCAGCCUAAGCUUUGGUUAUGAAAGGCGGGGAUGGAGCAAGUGCCUGGAGGUAUCCCCAGACAGAGACACCUCUAGUCCAAGGGUAGCAUUCAUAAGUAGAAGAUGCUGCACUCCAGUACUGGGCCUCAGUUUCCCAUCCCUGGGAAGCACGGCCCAUAUGCCAGAUCAAUGCUCCUAUCGGAUGUGGCCGUUGGACCAGAAUAUGUUACAUGUGGCAGCUCAUUCCUGAGGUGGUUAAUUGGCCGCCUCAGUGCUGGGCUCUGUCGCCCCAUUGAUUGGGAAUGAAGGGUGAGAAGAGGGAGAUGGGGAAUCGAUAGGCUGAUGAGUGUCUUACUAGCUUUCUGUUUGAACACUUUGUCAAUAGCCACCCACUUAAUGGCCAGUGGUGCAUUGGCUGUCCAUCUUUCUAUCCUUGUGGCCUGGGACAUGAGACCCUUCGGAUAGUGUGUGCCUAUGCCCGGCAAUCCUAGUAGGUGGGGCAGCUUUUGGCUCUAAAACUAGGCUCCAGGUGAGGAAGUGCAAGGCCUAUUCUGAGCAAGGGGGACUGUCCCCACUGUUUGCCCAGUCUUGCUCAGCCAAAGGCAACUCCACACCCUGUACUCUAUGGUUUGCUAAAAGACCCUGAUCCCCCCACCCCCAACCCCCACACACAGGCAAAUGUGAAAUUCUGAAGUCAUCUCAAAAGUUCAUGUGUUUGGAGUAGAGGUGGCCAUGAGAUUUCAAUCUCAAUUCACUUUAGGAGCUAGCAGCUAGUUAGUAUCUAGAAGCUCUUUCUGUACAGUGGAGAUCCUGGGACAAGAGGCAACUAAGAAAAGAUAAGCCCAGGGAACCCUUUCUUUAGUCCUAGAGUCUUUCAAAUGUGACAAACCCAAAGCCCCAGAGCUUUGCCCUCUGCCCAGCCUCCCAUAUGGUUUUAUGAACUGAAACUGCAAAGUUUAGGGUGUGAGAAUGUAUCAUUCUGAGUGUUUGAACUGUCUCUCUGUUGGCUGCCCUGCAAUAGUUUAGGAGGUAAUGGAAUUGUUUGGUUUCUUCUGAGACAUUUCUGGUGGGUAGGUGCUGUCCCUUUAGCCUGGUUUGUUGUCUAGUCCCCCUCUGCAAAGGCAUCAUCCUUUACUCUGAGUGACAAACAACUCAAGACAGGGAGAGGAAUAAGAUAAGGACAAGAUAAAGUGUCAGAUGAAACCUCUUCUGUACACUCUUGAGACUAAGAGGUAAUGUUCUUUCUCUGGAUGCCUGUUAGGUGGGUGGUGUAGUUAGGGACCUUCCUUAGCAUGUCUUAAAAGGCCUGACAGCUAGGACCGGUGAUCAGGACAGGUUAUACGCAAGGGUAUUAACCCAGCUCUGCUUUCCUCCUGCUUUUUGGUUAGGAGCAUCAUGUGCUGGCUAGUAAACGUUCUCAGAGACAUCAAUCAAAGCUUUGCAUUCUCAGAGUCUCCCAGGCACAGAAAACGGUGGGUGCUAGCCGUGGUGCUGAAGCAUAUCUCCCUUUUAGAGAAAGCUUGUUCCCAGCUUCCUCUAAAGACCAGAAUAGUUAGCUGGGCGUGGUGGCAUACACCUUUAACCCCAGCACUCGGGAGGCAGAGGCAGGCGGAUUUCUGAGUUCAAGGCCAGCCUGGUCUACAAAGUGAGUUCCAGGACAGCCAGGGCUAUACAGAGAAACCCUGUCUCGAAAAACAUAGUUGGCCUACAUAGAUCCUUUCAACAUUUCCCCAGUGGGUCGCAGAUAGCCCUCCUCUCUCUUCUCAUCUGAUAAAUACACAGUCUUGACCUCCAAACUGCGAUUCACCUCCUAGUUUGUCAUGAUGGAGAUCAUGCCGUCUUCUAGUUCCCUGGUCCAGGAAGCAUCAGUCAGUGGAAGAUACAGAUGUCCAGUUGGUGGACCCUGGAUGAACUUGCAGAAUGGAGAGAAAGUCAGCUGGCUGAGGGCAACGGGAGCAUGUUGAGCUGCUGAGAACAAAAGCUAAUGGGACCCACUUCAUGCUAGAGGUGCCAACUGUGCCCCCUUAGGCACACGUGUGCCUCGGGAGGUUUGAAUAUGUUCCUUGGCUCCUGAUCCUCAUCUGUGACCAGAAGCAUUGGCUGUCAUCAGAGUUUUGCUCCUUUCACACACAAAAAAAAAAAAGUAACCAUUCCCUCUGACAAAUGCAGCUGUCUCCAUUAAGUUAUUAGAACUCAGUGUGACAUCACUCACUGGCUUCUGUUCCUAUGAUGGAGUCCCAGGACUAAGAAGUAUAAGGUUGUAGCAUCCGGUACAGAAAGAAAGAGAGAGGUUAAUCAAGGAAAAACAGAGAAUUGCAUAAAGGAGAGCUUGAACAAAUGCUAACUUGAUCAAGAGAGGAAAUUGUCACUGCUCCUGGCUUCUCUAACCACAGCCUCCCAGCCCACUAUGAUCUGAUGAAAGGACUCACAACUCAUUGAUGAGGAUGUCAGGGACCCAGAUGCUGUCUGUGGGGAUGGACAAUUUGGUGACAUUGUCGAAGUCCUCAGGAGUCCACUGCAGAAACUCAUCAGUCCAGUACUGUGGGAGAAACAGAAACCAUCAAAGGCAGCCCCCUUCCAUCUUCGGUGAGGGUCACCUGCAAAUCAGACAGGUUUUUAUCCCUUCUGCUCAGGCAGUAGGUGGGCACCUUCUAGGGGGAAAUCUGGGUGUUGACGCAUACCUCUUCCUGGUCAAUAAGAGACUCCAUCUCUACAGCUGUCAACCAUCUUCAGCUAUAAAACCCAGGCUGCCUCUUCUACGGAAACAUGCUGCCUGUUCUUGUUUGGCUCAUUAUCCAUGAGACAGGGUAUGUUCUGAAUUAAGAGGAUCUUCAGUGAGACCGAAAUGGAGCUGUCUGAUAAGGACCACUCUCUGUCCCAUAAGUGUAUGGUGGUGAUAGAACAUGAUCAUGGCCGUAGGAAGGGAUUUGAGACCUGUGUGUCCCUGAUGUGUCUACGCAGCCUCUGGGGUGAGGCCUCUCCAGUUUACCUCCCUCCCCAGAGCUCAGCCAAGUCCUGAAACAUCUGCAUAUUAGUGUGACCUACACCUGUCUUAAUUGGACGAGUGGCAACAGGGAAGAAUCCUGAGGGUUAAGUGAAUAGGUUUUUUUUUUCCUGUUUUGAUUGCUCAGUUUGGUUGUUAUCCAACUUCGCAUAGAAUGAAGAACUUUCUAGAAGUUGGAGCUGUUCACAUGAAAGUGAAGUCACUAUGGUGUGAGUUCUCAGGCCAGGAAUUGUCCUUCCUCCAGGGUUAGUCAGUCAGCACUUGUCUGAGAUGCUCUAAACCAUCUGAGAAACCAGGUGUGGGGGCUGGGAGGAUGGCCGCCACCCAUCUUCCCCUCGCCCUGAGAUGGGACAUUUCAGACACCUAGACCUUGUAUCUGUCUACCGUGCUUUCUUCACUAAGCUGCUCACCACCUUCCUUCCUUCACGGUAGCCACUGAGAUUCCCGACUCCUUGAGAGGGGGGUGUCCCAGGAAGUGGGGGGCUGGUCUGCUCACCUGCCGGUACCAUAUGUAGGUGGUCAGAACCUGGUUCUUCUCAUCCUGUGAAAGUAAAAGGGGCUGACAUGUGGACACACACACACACACACACACACACACACACACACACACACACACACCAACAGAAGCUUGCCCUGGGUAUCUCAUCUGCUGGAAGAGGCCGAGGAAGGAGAUGAACUCAAGCUGCUGGCCAGCCAGGAGAAGCUGGUCUGUUAAAUGGGUACAACUAGAAAGCAUUGCAGUCAUUUCUUCUCAGCUUCCAAGAUACAUAGUGAGGUGUGUGUGUGGGGGGGGGGGG
Mus musculus (house mouse) is the source of this 4534-nucleotide long non-coding RNA. RefSeq annotates it as predicted gene, 32335. The transcript has 3 exons. Lineage: Eukaryota; Metazoa; Chordata; Mammalia; Rodentia; Muridae. The record is from RefSeq and is a predicted model, not a curated record.